GCAAGUCGUGGGGCAGCAGGUCCCGCAGCAAUGCGGGAUGCUGGCGACCGGCAAACGGGUGCGGAACACGUACACAACCUUCCUUUAAGUGGGGAAUAGCCCGGGGAAACCCGGAUUAAUACCCCGUAAUAUAAUGAAGUGGCAUCACUUUAUUAUUAUAGCUCCGGCGCUUGAAGAUGGGUGUGCGACUGAUUAGGCAGUUGGCGGGGUAACGGCCCACCAAACCUACGAUCAGUAACUGGUGUGAGAGCACGACCAGUCACACGGGCACUGAGACACGGGCCCGACUCCUACGGGAGGCAGCAGUAAGGAAUAUUGGUCAAUGGACGCAAGUCUGAACCAGCCAUGCCGCGUGGAGGAUGAAGGUCCUCUGGAUUGUAAACUUCUUUUAUCUGGGAAGAAAUGCAUUUUUUCUAAAGUGCUUGACGGUACCAGGUGAAUAAGCACCGGCUAACUCCGUGCCAGCAGCCGCGGUAAUACGGAGGGUGCAAGCGUUAUCCGGAUUCACUGGGUUUAAAGGGUGCGUANGUGGGUUGGUAAGUCAGUGGUGAAAUCUCCAGGCUUAACUUGGAAACUGCCAUUGAUACUAUCAAUCUUGAAUACCGUGGANGUCAGCGGAAUAUGUCAUGUAGCGGUGAAAUGCUUAGAUAUGACAUAGAACACCAAUUGCGAAGGCAGCUGGCUACACGAAUAUUGACACUGAUGCACGAAAGCGUGGGGAUCAAACAGGAUUAGAUACCCUGGUAGUCCACGCCCUAAACGAUGGAUACUCGACAUACGCGAUAUACUGUGUGUGUCUGAGCGAAAGCAUUAAGUAUCCCACCUGGGAAGUACGAUCGCAAGAUUGAAACUCAAUGAAUUGACGG
This 866-nucleotide ribosomal RNA is filed under the name uncultured Flavobacteriales bacterium. Its description in RNAcentral is "bacterial SSU rRNA". It matches the Rfam family "Bacterial small subunit ribosomal RNA", at positions 57 to 916 of the family's 1533-position model. Lineage: Bacteria; Pseudomonadati; Bacteroidota; Flavobacteriia; Flavobacteriales. The record is from RNAcentral.